GUUCCUGUGUCUCGGUGUUCCUCGGUGUUCCUGUGUUCCUGUUUCCUCUCUGUUCCCGUGUCUCGGCGCAGGGAUGGUCAUUGUUAAACUUUGGCAGGCGCCGCGGCCAGUUUUAACUUUCUCACAAGGAAAUUGAUCUGGUCUACCACAAGCCGUUUGGCAAGCUCGUUUACAGCUGUGUAUCUCAGAACUUUCCGGAUCAUGUGGGGAGACGAGUUGGACUGAGAUCUGCGUCGUCUCCGCCAAAAAAAAAGGCCAGACUCUCACCAGGCAACCCGGAGAACCACUGGAGAACAGAAAAGAACAUUGACUUGAUUUGCAUAUAUUUCAGUAUAACAUGGUUUAGUAUGAGCAGGUUUCAGUAUAACCUGGUUUAGUAUGGGCAGGUUUCAGUGUAACCUGGUUUAGUAUGAGCAGGUUUCAGUAUAACCUGGUUUAGUAUGAGCAGGUUUCAGUAUAACCAGGUUUAGUAUGAGCAGGUUUCAGUAUAACCUGGUUUAGUAUGAGCAGGUUUCAGUAUAACAUGGUUUAGUAUGAGCAGGUUUAGUAUGAGCAGGUUUAGUAUGAGCAGGCUGUGGCAUGAGCAGACAUCUAUGUACUCUACUCUGGAAGCAGUAUCGUGCCCCUGGGGAUGCAGCAGGCUCACAAUGCUGCGUUUACGAAAUGGAGUCUAGAUCACCUUUCCUCCUCUGUCUAUGUGUGCUGGUCCAAGAGUCUCAGUAGCACAGGUGAGUUGGCCUGUCUGUGAGUCCAGGUGUGUUUGAAGUGAAGUAAGCACGGCUGCCUCAGCUUUGAAGUGUCCGUGGCGCCGUCCCGUCCGAGUG
Long non-coding RNA from Clupea harengus (Atlantic herring), 824 nucleotides. The record is from Ensembl. NCBI's taxonomy places the organism in Eukaryota, Metazoa, Chordata, Actinopteri, Clupeiformes, Clupeidae.